CAGGAUGAACGCUGGCGGCGUGCCUAAUACAUGCAAGUCGAACGAGGUGCUUUUUGUAGCAAUACGAGGAGUAUCCUAGUGGCGAACGGGUGAGUAACGCGUGGGUGACCUACCCCAAAGUGUGGAAUAACAGUCCGAAAGGAUUGCUAAUGCCGCAUGUGGUCUGCGAGUUUAGAAAUCGUUGACUAAAGGAGCAAUUCGCUUUGGGAGGGACCUGCGUCCCAUCAGCUAGUUGGUGAGGUAACGGCUCACCAAGGCUACGACGGGUAGGGGACCUGAGAGGGUGGCCCCCCACAAUGGAACUGAAACACGGUCCAUACACCUACGGGUGGCAGCAGUAGGGAAUAUUGCACAAUGGGCGAAAGCCUGAUGCAGCAACGCCGCGUGCGCGAUGAAGGUCUUCGGAUCGUAAAGCGCUUUUCUGAGAGAUGAGAAAGGACAGUAUCUCAGGAAUAAGUCUCGGCUAACUACGUGCCAGCAGCCGCGGUAAAACGUAGGAGGCGAGCGUUAUCCGGAUUCACUGGGCGUAAAGCGCGUGUAGGUGGUUCGGUAAGUUGGGCGUGAAAUCUCCCGGCUCAACUGGGAGAGGUCGUUCAAUACUACCGGACUUGAGAGCAGAAGAGGAAGAUGGAAUUCCCGGUGUAGUGGUGAAAUGCGUAGAUAUCGGGAGGAACACCAGUGGCGAAGGCGAU
RNAcentral lists this ribosomal RNA (692 nucleotides) under uncultured bacterium. Its description in RNAcentral is "bacterial SSU rRNA". It matches the Rfam family "Bacterial small subunit ribosomal RNA", at positions 25 to 725 of the family's 1533-position model. The record is from RNAcentral.